GAGGGGGGGAAUUUAGGGAAAAGGGGGGGUCGCGCUACCACAGUCGAGCGGGCAUGCAAUAUGUCAGCGGCAGACGGGUGAGUAACGCGCUGGGAACGUACCUUUUGGUUCGGAACAACUGAGGGAAACCUUCGGCAUAAUACCGUAUACCCCUUACGGUUACAAUCUAAAUACGGUGAUCCAACCCCCUCCUCAUNAUAGAUCAUCGGCGUUAUCACUUUGUUUUUAAUUUACCUCCCACUCAUACCCAUAGCAUCUUAUCAUAUAGACACCCCCCUCUGUAGACUCCUCCACUCCUCCUUACAGGAGCAUGGGUAAUUUUUUUUUAUCUGCAACCUGAUCUCUUCCCGCUAUAAGAAAUCCCCUCUACUUAUUUUUCAGCAAACAACGCAGUUCUUAUCCUCGCUAUGACGUACAUUACCUUAA
RNAcentral lists this ribosomal RNA (426 nucleotides) under Bradyrhizobium elkanii. Its description in RNAcentral is "partial 16S ribosomal RNA". The record is from RNAcentral. Lineage: Bacteria; Pseudomonadati; Pseudomonadota; Alphaproteobacteria; Hyphomicrobiales; Nitrobacteraceae.